This 429-nucleotide ribosomal RNA is filed under the name Chloroflexota bacterium. RNAcentral describes it as "Chloroflexi bacterium partial 16S ribosomal RNA". It matches the Rfam family "Bacterial small subunit ribosomal RNA", at positions 355 to 776 of the family's 1533-position model. Lineage: Bacteria; Bacillati; Chloroflexota. The record is from RNAcentral.
UGGGGAAUAUUGCACAAUGGGCGCAAGCCUGAUGCAGCCAUGCCGCGUGUAUGAAGAAGGCCUUCGGGUUGUAAAGUACUUUCAGCGGGGAGGAAGGGAGUAAAGUUAAUACCUUUGCUCAUUGACGUUACCCGCAGAAGAAGCACCGGCUAACUCCGUGCCAGCAGCCGCGGUAAUACGGAGGGUGCAAGCGUUAAUCGGAAUUACUGGGCGUAAAGCGCACGCAGGCGGUUUGUUAAGUCAGAUGUGAAAUCCCCGGGCUCAACCUGGGAACUGCAUCUGAUACUGGCAAGCUUGAGUCUCGUAGAGGGGGGUAGAAUUCCAUGUGUAGCGGUGAAAUGCGUAGGGAUGUGGAGGAAUACCGGUGGCGAAGGCGGCCCCCUGGACAAAGACUGACGCUCAGGUGCGAAAGCGUGGGGAGCAAAAAGG